UGCAGUCGAACGAUGAAGCAGAGCUUGCUCUGUGGAUUAGUGGCGAACGGGUGAGUAACACGUGAGUAACCUGCCCUUGACUCUGGGAUAAGCACUGGAAACGGUGUCUAAUACCGGAUAUGAGCUUCAGCCGCAUGGCUAGGAGCUGGAAAGAAUUUCGGUCAAGGAUGGACUCGCGGCCUAUCAGCUAGUUGGUGAGGUAAUGGCCCACCAAGGCGACGACGGGUAGCCGGCCUGAGAGGGUGACCGGCCACACUGGGACUGAGACACGGCCCAGACUCCUACGGGAGGCAGCAGUGGGGAAUAUUGCACAAUGGGCGCAAGCCUGAUGCAGCAACGCCGCGUGAGGGACGAAGGCCUUCGGGUUGUAAACCUCUUUUAGUAGGGAAGAAGCGAAAGUGACGGUACCUGCAGAAAAAGCACCGGCUAACUACGUGCCAGCAGCCGCGGUAAUACGUAGGGUGCAAGCGUUAUCCGGAAUUAUUGGGCGUAAAGAGCUCGUAGGCGGUUUGUCGCGUCUGCUGUGAAAACUGGGGGCUCAACCCCCAGCCUGCAGUGGGUACGGGCAGACUAGAGUGCGGUAGGGGAGAUUGGAAUUCCUGGUGUAGCGGUGGAAUGCGCAGAUAUCAGGAGGAACACCGAUGGCGAAGGCAGAUCUCUGGGCCGUAACUGACGCUGAGGAGCGAAAGCAUGGGGAGCGAACAGGAUUAGAUACCCUGGUAGUCCAUGCCGUAAACGUUGGGAACUAGAUGUAGGGUCCAUUCCACGGAUUCUGUGUCGCAGCUAACGCAUUAAGUUCCCCGCCUGGGGAGUACGGCCGCAAGGCUAAAACUCAAAGGAAUUGACGGGGGCCCGCACAAGCGGCGGAGCAUGCGGAUUAAUUCGAUGCAACGCGAAGAACCUUACCAAGGCUUGACAUAUACCGGAAACGUCUGGAAACAGUCGCCCCGCAAGGUCGGUAUACAGGUGGUGCAUGGUUGUCGUCAGCUCCUGUCGUGAGAUGUUGGG
RNAcentral lists this ribosomal RNA (1008 nucleotides) under Frigoribacterium sp. 765G92. RNAcentral describes it as "bacterial SSU rRNA". It matches the Rfam family "Bacterial small subunit ribosomal RNA", at positions 56 to 1079 of the family's 1533-position model. Lineage: Bacteria; Bacillati; Actinomycetota; Actinomycetes; Micrococcales; Microbacteriaceae. The record is from RNAcentral.